This 440-nucleotide ribosomal RNA is filed under the name uncultured bacterium. Its description in RNAcentral is "partial 16S ribosomal RNA". It matches the Rfam family "Bacterial small subunit ribosomal RNA", at positions 338 to 795 of the family's 1533-position model. The record is from RNAcentral.
CCUACGGGGUGCAGCAGUGGGGAAUAUUGCACAAUGGGGGAAACCCUGAUGCAGCGACGCCGCGUGAAGGAAGAAGUAUUUCGGUAUGUAAACUUCUAUCAGCAGGGAAGAAAAUGACGGUACCUGACUAAGAAGCCCCGGCUAACUACGUGCCAGCAGCCGCGGUAAUACGUAGGUGGCAAGCGUUAUCCGGAUUUACUGGGUGUAAAGGGCGUGUAGGCGGGAAAGCAAGUCAGAUGUGAAAACCAUGGGCUCAACCUGUGGCCUGCUUUUGAAACUGUUUUUCUUGAGUACUGGAGAGGCAGACUGAAUGCCUAGUGUAGCGGUGAAAUGCGUAGAUAUUAGGAGGAACACCAGUGGCGAAGGCGGUCUGCUGGACAGCAACUGACGCUGAGGCGCGAAAGCGUGGGGAGCAAACAGGAUUAGAUACCCUUGUAGUC